This 506-nucleotide ribosomal RNA is filed under the name uncultured bacterium. RNAcentral describes it as "partial 16S ribosomal RNA". It matches the Rfam family "Bacterial small subunit ribosomal RNA", at positions 29 to 523 of the family's 1533-position model. The record is from RNAcentral.
AGUGAACGCUGGCGGUAGGCCUAACACAUGCAAGUCGAACGGCAGCACAGAGGAGCUUGCUCCUUGGGUGGCGAGUGGCGGACGGGUGAGGAAUACAUCGGAAUCUACUCUGUCGUGGGGGAUAACGUAGGGAAACUUACGCUAAUACCGCAUACGACCUACGGGUGAAAGCAGGGGAUCUUCGGACCUUGCGCGAUUGAAUGAGCCGAUGUCGGAUGAGCUAGUUGGCGGGGUAAAGGCCCACCAAGGCGACGAUCCGUAGCUGGUCUGAGAGGAUGAUCAGCCACACUGGAACUGAGACACGGUCCAGACUCCUACGGGAGGCAGCAGUGGGGAAUAUUGGACAAUGGGCGCAAGCCUGAUCCAGCCAUACUGCGUGGGUGAAGAAGGCCUUCGGGUUGUAAAGCCCUUUUGUUGGGAAAGAAAUCCAGCUGGCUAAUACCCGGUUGGGAUGACGGUACCCAAAGAAUAAGCACCGGCUAACUUCGUGCCAGCAGCCGCCGUAA